This 426-nucleotide ribosomal RNA is filed under the name uncultured bacterium. RNAcentral's name for it is "bacterial SSU rRNA". It matches the Rfam family "Bacterial small subunit ribosomal RNA", at positions 354 to 796 of the family's 1533-position model. The record is from RNAcentral.
GUCGGGAAUAUUGCACAAUGAGCGAAAGCUUGAUGCAGCAACGCCGCGUGCGCGAUGAAGGCCUUCGGGUCGUAAAGCGCUUUUCGGGGGGAUGAGGAAGGACAGUACCCCCGGAAUAAGUCACGGCUAACUACGUGCCAGCAGCCGCGGUAAAACGUAGGUGGCGAGCGUUAUCCGGAUUUACUGGGCGUAAAGCGUGUUCAGGUGGUUUGGCAAGUCGGGCAUGAAAUCUCCAGGCUCAACCUGGAGAGGCUGUCCGAUACUUCCAGACUUGAGGGCAGCAGAGGGCGGUGGAAUUCCGGGUGUAGUGGUAAAAUGCGUAGAUAUCCGGAGGAACACCAGUGGCGAAGGCGGCCGCCUGGGCUGCUCCUGACGCUAAAACACGAAGGCUAGGGGAGAGAACGGGAUUAGAUACCCCUGUAGUCC